UUUGGAACUAUUUUACCUUUGUGUAAUGAUAUAUAACCACACAAAAUAUAUGUACCUCAUUUUACACCACAAGUUCAAAAGUCUUCUCUCUUUUCUUAAACUCUGUGCCGAGUCAAAUAGGUUCACAUGAAUUGAAACUGUUGAUUAGUGUAAUUAGUAAGAAGAUUUGAUUAGAUUAGAUUUUAUUCUCUAGCCUAAUUAAAUCAUGUCUAUAGAGUACUAUUGAUUAGUGUAAUUAGUAAGAAGAUUUGAUUAGAUUUGAUUUUAUUCUCUAGCCUAAUUAUAGGCUGAUUAUAUUCUGUAGCUUAAUUAGUGUAAUCACUGAUUUCCUUUCCUAGUUUAGUCAUAGGAUACAUUGUAUAAAUAUCAGUACUCUUGAUGUGAAUAAUAUACUGAAAUACAAGUUCUCUUGAAAUCUUCAUGGUAUCAAAGCCAGGCACAUUCCAAUUAUUGUUGCCGAUGUUGGGUCCACAUUUAUGUUGUCCACGCUCCAGAGGUCUGGGCGUGAGGGGGAGUGUUGAGUUGUCUCACAUCGGAGGGAUUUGAGGUCCUUGGUCUCCUUAUAUGGCUUGGAGAAUCCUCACCUCAUAAGCUAGCUUUUGGGGUUGAGUUAGGCCCAAGGUCCAUUAUUGACAAUAUAAAGUGAAAAACUGGAAGGAUCUUUAUAAUAUAUCCAUUGACUUAAAUAAGUCACAAGAGAAGUGCUUUAGUAGAUGCUUGAGAAAGAAAGGAAUCCAUAUAAAAUAUUAGUAAAUACAUACGUAAAAAGAAGGAUAUGGAGAAUAACAAAUGUGAGGACUGUAAAAGGCGAUGCAGCGGAUGAAAAUUAAGGAACUACACCAGAGACUACCUUUAAGUCAUACAUGCUUAUGCUCAGAAGAGUAACCAAUAGUAUACAGGUCCCAUGGUGCACGCUAUUUACAUAUGAUAUUUUGGUGAUUGAAGAAACUAGCCAGGGAAUCAAUCUAAAUUGGGACCUACAGUAAAACACUCCAGAGAGCAGUGGUUAUUGAUUUUCAGAUAAGUAAAAGUAAGUAAUGAUAUAUGCACCACAAAUUUAGCCCCCGUGAAGAUUGUAAAGUGAAAUUAGAUGGAAUAUGAAAUGGCAAUUCAUGGUCUUGUCAAUUCAUUAAGAGACAUUUCAAAGGCAAUAUGAACCCAAUAUGGCAGGGCUCUCACGAAAGCUGAAGUUAGUUCCAUUAGGCUAUGGUAGUCUACACCUAGUCACACAACUGGACACACCUUUUGCUCCUUAAUACUCCCUUCAUUUCAAUUUAUGUGUACCUAUUUACUUUUUAGUCUUUGGAAACAGCCUCUCUACCCAAGGGUAGGGGUAAGGUCUGCGUACACACUACCCUCCCCAGACCCCACUAAAUGGGAUUAUACUGGGUUGUUAUUGUUAUUGUUAUUUACUUUUUAGUCUGUGUCAAAAAGAAUGACCCCUUUCUUUAUUUGGAACUAUUUUACCUUUAUGUAAUGAUAUAUAACCACACAAAAUAUAUGUGCCUCAUUUUGCACCACAAGUUCAAAAGUCUUCUCUAUUUUCUUAAACUCCGUGCCUAGUCAAAUAGGUUCACAUGAAUUAAAACGGAGAGAGUACUAUUGAAAAUAUAAAGUGAAAAACUGGAAGGAUCUCUAUAAUAUAUCCAUUGACCUAAAUAAGUCAUAAGAGAAGUGCUUUAGUAGAUGCUUGAGAAAGGAAGCAAUUCAUAUAAAAUAUUAGUAAAUACAUACGUAAAAAGAAGGAUAUGGAGAAUAACAAAUGUGAGGACUGUGAAAGGCAAUGCAGUGGACGAAAAUUAAGGAACUACACCAGAGACUACCUUUGAGUCAUACUUGCUUAUGCUUAGAAGAGUAAUCAAUAGUAUACAGGUCCC
This 1877-nucleotide long non-coding RNA is filed under the name Nicotiana benthamiana. RNAcentral's name for it is "long non-coding RNA (NBEN_LNC005977)". Lineage: Eukaryota; Viridiplantae; Streptophyta; Magnoliopsida; Solanales; Solanaceae. The record is from RNAcentral.